RNAcentral lists this ribosomal RNA (253 nucleotides) under uncultured bacterium. Its description in RNAcentral is "partial 16S ribosomal RNA". It matches the Rfam family "Bacterial small subunit ribosomal RNA", at positions 524 to 776 of the family's 1533-position model. The record is from RNAcentral.
UACGGAGGGUGCGAGCGUUGUCCGGAAUUACUGGGCGUAAAGGGCGCGUAGGCGGUGCUCUAAGUCGGAUGUGAAAACUCUGGGCUCAACCCAGAGCCUGCAUCCGAAACUGGAGUGCUAGAGUUCUGGAGGGGGUAGCGGAAUUCCUGGUGUAGCGGUGAAAUGCGUAGAUAUCAGGAGGAACACCGGUGGCGAAGGCGGCUACCUGGACAGAAACUGACGCUGAGGCGCGAAAGCCAGGGGAGCAAACGGG